This 287-nucleotide unclassified non-coding RNA is filed under the name uncultured fungus. RNAcentral describes it as "sequence contains ITS1". Lineage: Eukaryota; Fungi. The record is from RNAcentral.
UUGCAUCGAUGCUAGACCUUUGCUGAUAGAGAGUGCGACUUGUGCUGCGCUCCGAAACCAGUAGGCCGGCUGCCAAUUACUUUAAGGCGAGUCUCCAGCAAAGCUAGAGACAAGACGCCCAACACCAAGCAAAGCUUGAGGGUACAAAUGACGCUCGAACAGGCAUGCCCUUUGGAAUACCAAAGGGCGCAAUGUGCGUUCAAAGAUUCGAUGAUUCACUGAAUUCUGCAAUUCACACUACUUAUCGCAUUUCGCUGCGUUCUUCAUCGAUGCCCAGGAACACCAAC